This 330-nucleotide ribosomal RNA is filed under the name Triticum aestivum (bread wheat). Its description in RNAcentral is "partial small subunit ribosomal RNA". The record is from RNAcentral. Lineage: Eukaryota; Viridiplantae; Streptophyta; Magnoliopsida; Poales; Poaceae.
AUGGCAUCUGGUGGCGCUGGAAGAAAACAUCAGCGGGGUUGCGAAGAGGCAAGGUGGAGGAGGAGCUGGCGGCGCUGCAGGCUCGCGGCGAGGAAGGAGGCACAGGCGUGCGGGCAUGAGCUCGGGGCAGUGGCACCAUGGCAUGGCCCAAGGUCGCGAAGAAUGCGGGGACGUGGGGGGAGGCGAGAUGGCGCGGCAGUGGCCUGGCUACCAUCGAGGAGACGGGCGGCAGCUUCAAUGGCCGGCCGGCGAGGCCAUGGCCUUGGCGCAGAGGAGCCAUCCCGGGGGAAGAAGAAGGAGCGGAGGACGACGGGGUUUGGAGGAGGAUGA